This 468-nucleotide ribosomal RNA is filed under the name uncultured bacterium. RNAcentral's name for it is "partial 16S ribosomal RNA". It matches the Rfam family "Bacterial small subunit ribosomal RNA", at positions 28 to 507 of the family's 1533-position model. The record is from RNAcentral.
GACGAACGCUGGCGGCGUGCUUAACACAUGCAAGUCGAACGGAAAGGCCCUGCUUUUGUGGGGUGCUCGAGUGGCGAACGGGUGAGUAACACGUGAGUAACCUGCCCUUGACUUUGGGAUAACUUCAGGAAACUGGGGCUGAUACCGGAUAGGAGCUCCUGCUGCAUGGUGGGGGUUGGAAAGUUUCGGCGGUUGGGGAUGGACUCGCGGCUUAUCAGCUUGUUGGUGGGGUAGUGGCUUACCAAGGCUUUGACGGGUAGCCGGCCUGAGAGGGUGACCGGCCACAUUGGGACUGAGAUACGGCCCAGACUCCUACGGGAGGCAGCAGUGGGGAAUAUUGCACAAUGGGCGGAAGCCUGAUGCAGCAACGCCGCGUGCGGGAUGACGGCCUUCGGGUUGUAAACCGCUUUCGCCUGUGACGAAGCGUGAGUGACGGUAAUGGGUAAAGAAGCACCGGCCAACUACGUG